AUUGAACGCUGGCGGCAGGCCUAACACAUGCAAGUCGAGCGGAUGAAGGGAGCUUGCUCCUGGAUUCAGCGGCGGACGGGUGAGUAAUGCCUAGGAAUCUGCCUGGUAGUGGGGGAUAACGUCCGGAAACGGGCGCUAAUACUGCAUACGUCCUGAGGGAGAAAGUGGGGGAUCUUCGGACCUAACGUUACCAGAUGAGCCUAGUUCGGAUUAGUUAGUUGGUGGGGUAAGGGCCUACCAAGCCGACGAUCCGUAACUGGUCUGAUAGGAUGAUCAGUCACACUGGAACUGAGACACGGUCCAGACUCCUACGAGAGGCAGCAGUAGGGAAUAUUGGACAGUGGGCGAAAGCCUGAUCCAGCCAUGCCGCGUGUGUGAAGAAAGUCUUCGGAUUGUAAAGCACUUUAAGUUGGGAGGAAGGGCAGUAAGUUAAUACCUUGCUGCUUUGACGUUACCAACAGAAUAAGCACCGGCUAACUUCGUG
Molecule: ribosomal RNA, 484 nt
Filed under: uncultured bacterium
Lineage: Bacteria
Description: partial 16S ribosomal RNA
Rfam family: Bacterial small subunit ribosomal RNA
Source: RNAcentral